This 461-nucleotide ribosomal RNA is filed under the name uncultured bacterium. Its description in RNAcentral is "partial 16S ribosomal RNA". It matches the Rfam family "Bacterial small subunit ribosomal RNA", at positions 339 to 795 of the family's 1533-position model. The record is from RNAcentral.
CUACGGGAGGCAGCAGUCGAGAAUCUUCCGCAAUGGACGAAAGUCUGACGGAGCGACGCCGCGUGCGGGAUGAAGGCCUUCGGGUUGUAAACCGCUGUCAGUGGGGAGGAAAUGCAUCAGGGUUCUCCCUGGUGUUUGACCGAUCCGCAGAGGAAGCGCAGGCUAAGUUCGUGCCAGCAGCCGCGGUAACACGAACUGCGCGAACGUUAUUCGGAAUCACUGGGCUUAAAGAGUUCGUAGGCGGCCUUUCAAGUCGGGUGUGAAAUCCCUCGGCUCAACCGGGGAAUUGCGCCUGAUACUGUUGGGCUUGAGAGGGAUAGGGGUGAGCGGAACUGAUGGUGGAGCGGUGAAAUGCGUUGAUAUCAUCAGGAACACCGGUGGCGAAGGCGGCUCACUGGAUCUCUUCUGACGCUGAGGAACGAAAGCUAGGGGAGCGAACGGGAUUAGAUACCCUCGUAGUC